Small nuclear RNA from Mastomys coucha (southern multimammate mouse), 165 nucleotides. RefSeq annotates it as U1 spliceosomal RNA. Lineage: Eukaryota; Metazoa; Chordata; Mammalia; Rodentia; Muridae. The transcript has a single exon. The record is from RefSeq and is a predicted model, not a curated record.
GUACUUACCAGGCAGGAGAAAUACUGUGAUCACGAAGGUGGUUUUCCCAGGGCAAGGUUUAUCCAUUACACUCUGGAUGUGCUGAACCCUGUGAUUUUCCCAAAUUCAGAAAACUCGACUGGAUAAUUUGUGGUGGUGAGGGGACUGUGUUCACACUCUCUCCUG